RNAcentral lists this transfer RNA (90 nucleotides) under Terriglobia bacterium. RNAcentral's name for it is "tRNA-Ile". The record is from RNAcentral. Lineage: Bacteria; Pseudomonadati; Acidobacteriota; Terriglobia. RNAcentral also lists the same sequence under 2 other names.
GGAGGGGCCUCCGGGAGGAGCAGUGCCUUAUAAGCACUUCGGCGCCAGAUUAGCGCGGCUAGGCAGGUUCGACUCCUGCACCCUCUACCA